UAGCGAAAUUCCUUGUCGGGUAAGUUCCGACCUGCACGAAUGGCAUAAUGAUGGCCAGGCUGUCUCCACCCGAGACUCAGUGAAAUUGAAAUCGCCGUGAAGAUGCGGUGUACCCGCGGCUAGACGGAAAGACCCCGUGAACCUUUACUAUAGCUUGACACUGAACAUUGAAUUUUGAUGUGUAGGAUAGGUGGGAGACUUUGAAGCAGUCACGCCAGUGAUUGUGGAGUCGUCCUUGAAAUACCACCCUUUAACGUUUGAUGUUCUAACGAAGAUUACGAAACGUGGUCUCGGACAGUGUCUGGUGGGUAGUUUGACUGGGGCGGUCUCCUCCCAAAGAGUAACGGAGGAGCACGAAGGUUUGCUAAUGACGGUCGGACAUCGUCAGGUUAGUGCAAUGGUAUAAGCAAGCUUAACUGCGAGACAGACAAGUCGAGCAGGUACGAAAGUAGGUCAUAGUGAUCCGGUGGUUCUGAAUGGAAGGGCCAUCGCUCAACGGAUAAAAGGUACUCCGGGGAUAACAGGCUGAUACCGCCCAAGAGUUCAUAUCGACGGCGGUGUUUGGCACCUCGAUGUCGGCUCAUCACAUCCUGGGGCUGAAGUAGGUCCCAAGGGUAUGGCUGUUCGCCAUUUAAAGUGGUACGCGAGCUGGGUUUAGAACGUCGUGAGACAGUUCGGUCCCUAUCUGCCGUGGGCGUUGGAGAAUUGAUUGGGGCUGCUCCUAGUACGAGAGGACCGGAGUGGACGCACCACUGGUGUUCCGGUUGUGUCGCCAGACGCAUUGCCGGGUAGCUAAGUGCGGAAGAGAUAAGUGCUGAAAGCAUCUAAGCACGAAACUUGCCAAGAGAUGAGUUCUCCCAGAUUACAAAUCUGUAAGGGUUGUUUAAGACUAAGACGUAGAUAGGCAUGGUGUGUAAGCGGUGCGAGCCGUUGAGCUAACAUGUACUAAUUGCCCGAGAGGCUUAACUAU
RNAcentral lists this ribosomal RNA (970 nucleotides) under human oral metagenome. RNAcentral describes it as "bacterial LSU rRNA". It matches the Rfam family "Bacterial large subunit ribosomal RNA", at positions 1957 to 2925 of the family's 2925-position model. The record is from RNAcentral.